RNAcentral lists this ribosomal RNA (485 nucleotides) under uncultured bacterium. RNAcentral's name for it is "partial 16S ribosomal RNA". It matches the Rfam family "Bacterial small subunit ribosomal RNA", at positions 30 to 507 of the family's 1533-position model. The record is from RNAcentral.
AUUGAACGCUGGCGGCAGGCUUAACACAUGCAAGUCGAGCGGGGAAGAGUAGCUUGCUGCUUUACCUAGCGGCGGACGGGUGAGUAAUGCUUAGGAAUCUGCCUAUUAGUGGGGGACAACAUCUCGUAAGGGAUGCUAAUACCGCAUACGUCCUACGGGAGAAAGCAGGGGACCUUCGGGCCUUGCGCUAAUAGAUGAGGCUAAGUCGGAUUAGCUAGUUGGUGGGGUAAAGGCCUACCAAGGCGACGAUCUGUAGCGGGUCUGAGAGGAUGAUCCGCGACACUGGGACGGGGACACGGCCCAGACUCCUACGGGAGGCAGAAGUGGGGAAUAUUGGACAAUGGGGGGAACAGUGAUCCAGCGAUGCCGCGUGUGUGAAGAAGGCCUUUUGGUUGUAAAGCACUUUAAGCGAGGAGGAGGCUACCGAGAUUAAUACUCUUGGGUAGUGGACGUUACUCGCAGAAUAAGCACCGGCUAACUCUGUG